UGCAAGUCGAACGAGAAUCUACUGAAAGAGUUUUCGGACGAUGGAAGUAGAGGAAAGUGGCGGACGGGUGAGUAACGCGUGAGGAACCUGCCUUGAAGAGGGGGACAACAGUUGGAAACGACUGCUAAUACCGCAUGAAGCAUAGGGGUCGCAUGAUUCUUAUGCCAAAGAUUUAUCGCUUCAAGAUGGCCUCGCGUCUGAUUAGCUAGUUGGCGGGGUAACGGCCCACCAAGGCGACGAUCAGUAGCCGGACUGAGAGGUUGAACGGCCACAUUGGGACUGAGAUACGGCCCAGACUCCUACGGGAGGCAGCAGUGGGGAAUAUUGGGCAAUGGGCGCAAGCCUGACCCAGCAACGCCGCGUGAAGGAAGAAGGCUUUCGGGUUGUAAACUUCUUUUAAGAGGGAAGAGCAGAAGACGGUACCUCUAGAAUAAGCCACGGCUAACUACGUGCCAGCAGCCGCGGUAAUACGUAGGUGGCAAGCGUUGUCCGGAUUUACUGGGUGUAAAGGGCGUGCAGCCGGGUCUGCAAGUCAGAUGUGAAAUCCAUGGGCUCAACCCAUGAACUGCAUUUGGAACUGUAGAUCUUGAGUGUCGGAGGGGCAAUCGGAAUUCCUAGUGUAGCGGUGAAAUGCGUAGAUAUUAGGAGGAACACCAGUGGCGAAGGCGGAUUGCUGGACGAUAACUGACGGUGAGGCGCGAAAGUGUGGGGAGCAAACAGGAUUAGAUACCCUGGUAGUCCACACUGUAAACGAUGAAUACUAGGUGUGCGGGGACUGACCCCCUGCGUGCCGCAGUAAACACAAUAAGUAUUCCACCUGGGG
This 823-nucleotide ribosomal RNA is filed under the name uncultured bacterium. Its description in RNAcentral is "bacterial SSU rRNA". It matches the Rfam family "Bacterial small subunit ribosomal RNA", at positions 56 to 878 of the family's 1533-position model. The record is from RNAcentral.